AAUUUGUAAUAAACCUGUAAUUUGUAAUUCCUAGGUUGCCCGUAUUUAAGAGUUCUUCUAAAGCUCUCUGGCCACUUCUGUGCAUGGUAUCUAACCUUGCCCCUAAAGCAGUAUUUCCAAUACUACUAUCCAUGGGAACGUCAAAACCUACAGAUUGGGAUUGGAUUGAACCCACCCUUCAGGAAUUAAGAGAUAUGUCUGUAAAUGGGAUUUACAUCAAUGAAAGGCAUUACCGAGGUCGAAGUUGCAUUAGACGAAAUGAGAAUGCUCCAGGGAUUGGUCAGAAAGAAAGUGUCUACUGAGAGAAAGGAGAUUUAUCAAUGCAAAUAGAAAUAUGACUUGAUCCGGAUGGAAAAGAAGCUACAAACGGAACCCUUCAGAUCAGAGCUGAUCACGGAGCUUGGAUUUAAGACAGGCGUGUCGGUUAAUCACAGCAUCAAGCUAAUGAUGAAAGAGAUAGAAACAGCGACUGUAUGGGGUCUCUACAACUGGAAGGGACAGAGAGGAAAGAUCUCUAUAGGCAGAAUACUUUGCCUAAUCUCGUCAGAGCCAUUACCCGUGCAGUCCAGAACUGGAACAAGAAAGCCAGUGACCAUGAAAUUGGUCAAACCUUCUG
Molecule: long non-coding RNA, 616 nt
Organism: Eurytemora carolleeae
Lineage: Eukaryota; Metazoa; Arthropoda; Copepoda; Calanoida; Temoridae
Exons: 4
Source: RefSeq, a predicted model, not a curated record